RNAcentral lists this transfer RNA (703 nucleotides) under Suricata suricatta (meerkat). RNAcentral describes it as "lncRNA (ENSSSUG00005019939.1)". Lineage: Eukaryota; Metazoa; Chordata; Mammalia; Carnivora; Herpestidae. The record is from RNAcentral.
CUAGAAGACUGGUUUUCACAGAUGCUGUGAAAGGUUUUUGCACCACUGGGCACCGCCACGUCCAUUUCCCCGCAGUCGAGCUAACACUGCGUGUUUUCUCACUUACAGGUUUUUAUUCCUGGGAGAGGGGGCCUAAGAUCCUUUCUCUUGCCUUCGACUUUCACUCUUGUUGAGUGAGGCUGAGCUGAGCGAUCAGAGCGUGGUCCCAGGAUUUAGUUCCCCAGGGGCCGGGGGCAGUACGCGCUUGUACCCACCUCUACCUGUGAUGUGCACCUUCCAUUUAAAGUCUUUCUACAGACGCUGCGCUGGAAUACAGCAAAAUAGCCAUGCCCUCUCUGAGGCUCGAACUCAGGACCUUCAGAUUAUGAGACUGACGCGCUGCCCACUGCGCCAAGAGGGCCGCCGGAGAAAUACCCUUCUUUACACUAAAGAGAAGUGCCUACAACCCCUUCUGCCGCCCGAGUUGACUACGCGUGUCCAUCUCUCCUGGCAGAGACCCGGGAGUCCCCGCCGUGGGUCCCAGGCCGCCGGGGCAUCUCGUCUUGAAGGGCAGAAGAGAGGCAUCAUUUCCCCUGAGCAGGGUUUCAUGUUUCAUUGUGGGAAAUUUCUGCUGCAGAUUCCCCGAAGGGACGGCUCCCAAGGACUCAUCACCCAUCCCAUUUACCCAGUGAUUACUACAGGAGCUCACCAUGUCUGCCACUAG